AGACCGGCUUACUGGUCGUGCUAUUGUACGUACUGGUAUAAUCGGUUUCUCCUUUCUGACGAACUAUAAUGCCAUUAAUUUGGUGUUUUAGGGAAUCAGGACUGUUACUUUGAAAAAAUUAGAGUGUUUAAAGCAGGCUCACGCUUGAAUACAUUAGCAUGGAAUAACGGAAUAGGACGUUUGAUUCUAUUUUGUUGGUUUCUAGGAUCGACGUA
Molecule: non-coding RNA, 215 nt
Filed under: Dominikia indica
Lineage: Eukaryota; Fungi; Glomeromycota; Glomeromycetes; Glomerales; Glomeraceae
Also listed under: 2 other names
Description: partial small subunit ribosomal RNA
Rfam family: Eukaryotic small subunit ribosomal RNA (bases 46-215)
Source: RNAcentral